AUCUUCCACAAUGGGCGAAAGCCUGAUGGAGCAACGCCGCGUGAAGGAUGAAGGCCUUCGGGUUGUAAACUUCUUUUAUGAGUGAAGAAUAUGACGGUAACUCAUGAAUAAGCACCGGCUAACUACGUGCCAGCAGCCGCGGUCAUACGUAGGGUGCAAGCAUUAUCCGGAGUGACUGGGCGUAAAGAGUUGCGUAGGCGGUUUAAUAAGUGAAUAGUGAAACCUGGUGGCUCAACCAUACAGACUAUUAUUCAAACUGUUAAACUCGAGAGUAGUAGAGGUAACUGGAAUUUCUAGUGUAGGAGUGAAAUCCGUAGAUAUUAGAAGGAACACCAAUGGCGUAGGCAGGUUACUGGACUAUUUCUGACGCUAAGGCACGAAAGCGUGGGGAGCGAAC
RNAcentral lists this ribosomal RNA (397 nucleotides) under uncultured bacterium. Its description in RNAcentral is "bacterial SSU rRNA". It matches the Rfam family "Bacterial small subunit ribosomal RNA", at positions 361 to 773 of the family's 1533-position model. The record is from RNAcentral.